Long non-coding RNA from Mya arenaria, 749 nucleotides. RefSeq lists it as uncharacterized. NCBI's taxonomy places the organism in Eukaryota, Metazoa, Mollusca, Bivalvia, Myida, Myidae. The transcript has 3 exons. The record is from RefSeq and is a predicted model, not a curated record.
AACAUGCUUAAAAUGUACUUCAGCUCGAUACAAGUAGACGUCCGGAUCUAGUGUUGGUAUAAGCGAGUGCUCGUCUAGUUAAUUAAAUAAGUUUACGUUCGUGUUAAAAAAACAACAACGUAUUUUGUAGAGAACUGAGGAAUAAGUGAUUAUCUUAAAAAUGAAAUCGGGUUUUUUCUUCGUCUUUGGCGUAAUUAUGUUCGCCUUUGCAAGUAUAAAUGCACGGAAAUGUCCGGCAAAGGAUCUUGUUGCAUGUUUUGUAGACCCAUGUCAAGGCUGGGUUUGUACGGAACCAGAAGGACUUACCUGCAGAGCCAACUAUUGUGGCGGAUGCAACCAAGAGUGGUACACAAGCCCAACAUCUAAAGUACGUGUUCCUUGUGUGAUAAAGAUAUAUCAAGGGAUUGGAGACGUUUCAGACUCGUGAGAGCGGUCAAAUGGUUGAGGUGGCAUCCCGCCUCUCACCGGUGUGGUGUUAAGUUACUGUAAUGACAUCGAAAUUAUAUUAAUUAUUACUGAGUUUCUUUUUUAUUAUUUUUUUCAUCUAAAAGUUUAUUUAUUUUAAAUUCAUGGAAGCGAUUCGGAACCAAAAACAAUAUAAAACAGUUUUUUACGUACGUGUAUACGUUAUGUACAUACUUGUUUUAAACUUACCAAUAGCUAUUGACGUCAAUACAUAAUUAUGCCAUACCUUUAUAUACAUCUUAUUUAAUUGUCUUUUUGGGAAAUAAAACAAAUCCAAACACUUA